RNAcentral lists this ribosomal RNA (459 nucleotides) under uncultured bacterium. RNAcentral describes it as "partial 16S ribosomal RNA". It matches the Rfam family "Bacterial small subunit ribosomal RNA", at positions 338 to 795 of the family's 1533-position model. The record is from RNAcentral.
CCUACGGGUGGCAGCAGUGAGGAAUAUUGGUCAAUGGCCGGGAGGCUGAACCAGCCAAGUCGCGUGAGGGAAGACGGCCCUACGGGUUGUAAACCUCUUUUGUCAGGGAGCAAGAGGCAGGUCGGGACCUGCUGCGAGAGUACCCGAAGAAAAAGCAUCGGCUAACUCCGUGCCAGCAGCCGCGGUAAUACGGAGGAUGCGAGCGUUAUCCGGAUUUAUUGGGUUUAAAGGGUGCGCAGGCGGAGGCACAAGUCAGCGGUAAAAUCGCGGGGCUCAACCCCGCCCCGCCGUUGAAACUGUGUCUCUUGAGUGCGCGAAGGGUAGGCGGAAUGCGUGGUGUAGCGGUGAAAUGCAUAGAUAUCACGCAGAACUCCGAUCGCGAAGGCAGCAUACCGGCGCGCAACUGACGCUCAUGCACGAAAGCGUGGGUAUCGAACAGGAUUAGAUACCCGUGUAGUC